RNAcentral lists this ribosomal RNA (257 nucleotides) under uncultured bacterium. RNAcentral describes it as "partial 16S ribosomal RNA". It matches the Rfam family "Bacterial small subunit ribosomal RNA", at positions 524 to 776 of the family's 1533-position model. The record is from RNAcentral.
UACGUAGGGUGCGAGCGUUGUCCGGAAUUAUUGGGCGUAAAGAGCUCGUAGGCGGUGUGUCACGUCGGCCGUGAAAACCUGCAGCUUAACUGUGGGCGUGCGGUCGAUACGGGCAUCACUGGAGUUCGGCAGGGGAGACUGGAAUUCCUGGUGUAGCGGUGGAAUGCGCAGAUAUCAGGAGGAACACCGGUGGCGAAGGCGGGUCUCUGGGGCAGUAACUGACGCUGAGGAGCGAAAAGCGUGGGGGAGCGAACAGG